UAACGCGUAUGCAACUUACCUAUCAGAGGGGGAUAGCCCGGCGAAAGUCGGAUUAAUACCCCAUAAAACAGGGGUCCCGCAUGGGAAUAUUUGUUAAAGAUUCAUCGCUGAUAGAUAGGCAUGCGUUCCAUUAGGCAGUUGGCGGGGUAACGGCCCACCAAACCGACGAUGGAUAGGGGUUCUGAGAGGAAGGUCCCCCACAUUGGUACUGAGACACGGACCAAACUCCUACGGGAGGCAGCAGUGAGGAAUAUUGGUCAGUGGCCGAGAGGCUGAACCAGCCAAGUCGCGUGAAGGAAGAAGGAUCUAUGGUUUGUAAACUUCUUUUAUAGGGGAAUAAAGUGGAGGACGUGUCCUUUUUUGUAUGUACCCUAUGAAUAAGCAUCGGCUAACUCCGUGCCAGCAGCCGCGGUAAUACGGAGGAUGCGAGCGUUAUCCGGAUUUAUUGGGUUUAAAGGGUGCGUAGGUGGUGAUUUAAGUCAGCGGUGAAAGUUUGUGGCUCAACCAUAAAAUUGCCGUUGAAACUGGGUUACUUGAGUGUGUUUGAGGUAGGCGGAAUGCGUGGUGUAGCGGUGAAAUGCAUAGAUAUCACGCAGAACUCCGAUUGCGAAGGCAGCUUACCAAACCAUAACUGACACUGAAGCACGAAAGCGUGGGGAUCAAACAGGAUUAGAUACCCUGGUAGUCCACGCAGUAAACGAUGAUUACUAGGAGU
This 715-nucleotide ribosomal RNA is filed under the name uncultured bacterium. Its description in RNAcentral is "bacterial SSU rRNA". It matches the Rfam family "Bacterial small subunit ribosomal RNA", at positions 111 to 823 of the family's 1533-position model. The record is from RNAcentral.